AGCAGGUCUAAUAAGAAUUUGUUUUUCUUUCUUCACAAUUAUGAAAGAAAAGAAAUUGUGAAGAAAUAAAUUCUUACUAGUUUUGCU
MicroRNA precursor from Gorilla gorilla gorilla (western lowland gorilla), 87 nucleotides. The record is from Ensembl. NCBI's taxonomy places the organism in Eukaryota, Metazoa, Chordata, Mammalia, Primates, Hominidae.